Molecule: non-coding RNA, 463 nt
Organism: Paramuricea clavata
Lineage: Eukaryota; Metazoa; Cnidaria; Anthozoa; Malacalcyonacea; Plexauridae
Source: the annotation of a GenBank genome assembly
ACGAUACUUAGUUAGUUAGUUGCACACUUAUAAACAAAUCCAUGGUAGUAAAAACCCACAGUAACUGUGUCUUAUGCGUGCACAAUCCGAACGCGUUUUUCGCGUGACGAAUUCGUACACGCCAAAUAAUAGAAAUUCCUGGAAACACAUCAAUACACAAUUGACUAAUAAAGUAUUUUCAAUUGUUCGUAAAUGAUAUGUUGAAACAGAGACAGGAUAUAAGCCAAUAUAUAUAGUUAAACGUGAACAGAAAUCACGUAUAAAUACAUCACUGUUGCACUUUUAUUGUGUCUACAUUGAGUGAAUUAAAUAAUAUUCGACAUGAGAGCAUACUUCAUAUCGGAUCGUAUUACAUUUCGGAAUUCUAACAACAAAAUCUUGGAGAAUUACGUCCUAUUUUAAAACAAUAAAGAUUGGCACUCAACGAAAGUGUGCGGUGAGUCGAACCAUAUUAAUAUACGAU